This 465-nucleotide ribosomal RNA is filed under the name Vreelandella stevensii. RNAcentral's name for it is "partial 16S ribosomal RNA". It matches the Rfam family "Bacterial small subunit ribosomal RNA", at positions 338 to 795 of the family's 1533-position model. Lineage: Bacteria; Pseudomonadati; Pseudomonadota; Gammaproteobacteria; Oceanospirillales; Halomonadaceae. The record is from RNAcentral.
CCUACGGGGAGCAGCAGUGGGGAAUAUUGGACAAUGGGCGAAAGCCUGAUCCAGCCAUGCCGCGUGUGUGAAGAAGGCCUUCGGGUUGUAAAGCACUUUCAGUGGGGAAGAAAGCCUUGGGGCUAAUACCCUCGAGGAAGGACAUCACCCACAGAAGAAGCACCGGCUAACCCCGUGCCAGCAGCCGCGGUAAUACGGAGGGUGCGAGCGUUAAUCGGAAUUACUGGGCGUAAAGCGCGCGUAGGCGGUCUGAUAAGCCGGUUGUGAAAGCCCCGGGCUCAACCUGGGAACGGCAUCCGGAACUGUCAGGCUAGAGUGCAGGAGAGGAAGGUAGAAUUCCCGGUGUAGCGGUGAAAUGCGUAGAGAUCGGGAGGAAUACCAGUGGCGAAGGCGGCCUUCUGGACUGACACUGACGCUGAGGUGCGAAAGCGUGGGUAGCAAACAGGAUUAGAUACCCCGGUAGUC